Molecule: ribosomal RNA, 504 nt
Filed under: uncultured bacterium
Lineage: Bacteria
Description: partial 16S ribosomal RNA
Rfam family: Bacterial small subunit ribosomal RNA
Source: RNAcentral
AUUGAACGCUGGCGGCAGGCCUAACACAUGCAAGUCGAACGGUAGCACAGAGAGCUUGCUCUCGGGUGACGAGUGGCGGACGGGUGAGUAAUGUCUGGGAAACUGCCCGAUGGAGGGGGAUAACUACUGGAAACGGUAGCUAAUACCGCAUAACGUCGCAAGACCAAAGUGGGGGACCUUCGAGCCUCACACCAUCGGAUGUGCCCAGAUGGGAUUAGCUAGUAGGUGGGGUAAUGGCUCACCUAGGCGACGAUCCCUAGCUGGUCUGAGAGGAUGACCAGCCACACUGGAACGGCGACACGGUCCAGACUCGUACGGGAGGCAGCAGUGGGGAAUAUUGCACAAUGGGCGCAAGCCUGAUGCAGCCAUGCCGCGUGUAUGAAGGAGGCCUUCGGGUUGUAAAGUACUUUCAGCGGGGAGGAAGGCAGUGAAGUUAAUAGCUUCACCGAUUGACGUUACCCGCAGAAGAAGCACCGGCUAACUCCGUGCCAGCAGCCGCAGUAA